CGCGUAGGCGGUUAAGAAAGUUAGAUGUGAAAUCCCUGGGCUUAACCUAGGAACUGCAUCUAAAACUAGUUAACUGGAGUGCUGUAGAGGGUAGUGGAAUUUCCGGUGUAGCGGUGAAAUGCGUAGAUAUCGGAAGGAACACCAGUGGCGAAGGCGGCUACCUGGACAGACACUGACGCUGAGGCGCGAGAGCGUGGGGAGCAAACA
Molecule: ribosomal RNA, 207 nt
Filed under: uncultured bacterium
Lineage: Bacteria
Description: partial 16S ribosomal RNA
Rfam family: Bacterial small subunit ribosomal RNA
Source: RNAcentral